AAAGCCUGACGCAGCAACGCCGCGUGAGGGACGAAGGCUUUCUGAGUUGUAAACCUCUUUCGACAGGAACGAUUGUGACGGUACCUGUAGAAGAAGCACCGGCCAACUAUGUGCCAGCAGCCGCGGUGAUACAUAGGGUGCGAGCGUUAUUCGGAUUUAUUGGGCGUAAAGAGCUCGUAGGCGGUUCGAUAAGUCGGGUGUUAAACCCCCAGGCUCAACCUGGGGCCGCCACCCGAAACUGUCGUGACUAGAGUUUGGUAGGGGAUCACGGAAUUCCUGGUGUAGCGGUGGAAUGCGCAGAUAUCAGGAGGAACACCAGUAGCGAAGGCGGUGAUCUGGGCCAAUACUGACGCUGAGGAGCGAAAGCGUGGGGAGCGAACAGGAUUAGAUACCCUGGUAGUCCACGCCGUAAACGGUGGGCACUAGGUGUGGGGACUUUUCAACGGUUUCCGCGCCGCAGCUAACGCAUUAAGUGCCCCGCCUGGGAGUGGCGAAAAGUU
RNAcentral lists this ribosomal RNA (500 nucleotides) under uncultured bacterium. Its description in RNAcentral is "bacterial SSU rRNA". It matches the Rfam family "Bacterial small subunit ribosomal RNA", at positions 378 to 873 of the family's 1533-position model. The record is from RNAcentral.